GAUAGAGAGAGGCAUGCAUUGAAACUAGCCUACCAUACAAAGGUAAAAAAUGCAUUCAUGACUAUGCCCCCUUUCACCUGCGGCCUCACCCACCACUGGCAGGUUGUGCCCCCCCAUAAAAAAAGUUGCCCAGAAGGGAACAUGGCCCUCAGGUUGAAAAAGCUUCUGCACCCAUUAUCCAAGAAAUCAGGAUCAUCACGAGGGGCAAGGAGUGGCGAGAGAGCUGUUUGAGAAAGCCAGAAUGACGAGCUGGAUUUCUGUCAGGGGUUUAAAUGCCCUGGUGGCAAGAGCAAAUGGGUAAAGGUAAAGGGACCCUUGACUGUUAAGUCCAGUCGCAGACGACUCUGGGGUUGCGGCGCUCAUCUCACUUUACUGGCCGUGGGAGCCGGCAUUUGUCCUCAGACAGCUUCCGGGUCAUGUGGCCAGCAUGACUAAGCCAAUUCUGGCAAACCAGAGCAGCACACGGAAACGCAAAUGGGUACCAGGAACUAAAGAAUUCCCCAGGAAUAGAGCAGUGGAAGGAGGCCCUCAUUUGGAAAUUGAGAUUUUUGAAAUGAAGCAUGAAAUUCGGACGGGUGAGAAGGAAAUCUAUAAACUCAUCUCCUCCCGAUCCAAUUUUUUAUAACCAAAGAAGAUUGACAUUAUGAGGGGUCCUCCCCUCGUUGUCUGCUCAAAAUGGUGACCUUUAUCCCCCCAAACAGGGGUCUGUUUCAGUCCCUGCUCCCUGCACUUGCUUCAGUUUUGAUGUGCUCUGGCAGCUGAGCAAGGCUAAUAAACCGAGAGAGGGCCAGCUGGCUGAAAGGGACAAAUUCAAAUCUUCUGACCUGCAAAAGUAACAUGAUGCCCAUAUUCCUUCAUUUAGCAUAAUUAAUACAUUGUAUUUCCACUGAGUUUGAUAAACUAACACACGGACCUCUUCCCCUCUCCACCACCAGCACCAUUUCUCCUUUCCCCUUCUCCCUGGUGGCCUCUCAAGUAAUGAAUCCUGGAGAUCUAGUGUUUAAAUGCUUUUAAGACCUAACAGGAAAUAUUGUGUCUUAAUAAAGCUAAGAUCCAAAGUCCCAGUUGGGCCACUGCGAGCGAGGCAAAGGGUUGUCUCCGAGGUGGCAUGGCACAUUUUGGGACCGCUGCCCAGUCAGACCCUUCAAAUUCUCAUGAAUAUGUUAUGUGCACAAUCAAUGGAGAUGUGUUAAGCAUUAUAUAGCUGGGUUUCCCUUGACAGAGUCUUUUGUUGUGUAAAGAGACAGCAUUGUCUUGGAGGGCUCUGGGACUUGAACCGGGAGCCUUGGGGUCAGGAAUCUGGCCCAGAGAGCUACCUAGAUUAUCUGUGGUCAGGCUACAGUACCUUCUUUUGGCACAGGAGGGAAGAGAAGGUUCCACAACAGUCCCUGUAAUUGGCAUGAGGACUGCCAGGUCUCCUCAGGCUCUGAGCUGGGAGGGGACUCAGAGGUGACACCUUGCAGGUUUGAAGUGGAGCCUGAUGGGGCAGAGGAUGGCAUUUGGCAAGGGCCUACAAAUGCACUUGCCGCCUCACCAAUGGCAAUCUGGCAAGCGCAACAUCAGGGAGAUACCCCGCUUUUGUCAGGAGAUGUGGAGAGGACCUUCCUGAUGCCACGUUGAGCCUCAGUACUUUUCCGGUGUCUUUCAGCUGCAGCUUAACUAGGAUGGCCCCAGCCCGCCCACCUUUUUGCUUUAAGGAUGGACAUCAUCCUUGGAAUUUGGGUUCAAAGCUGCCCAAAUUUGCCCAUGUUAGAAGCAGUUCCCAAGCUAUAUCAAGCUACAGUUUAAUACAGGGGCAGGGAAACAUAGGCUCUCUAAACGCUGCUGGACUACAUCUCCCAUCAACCCCAACCAGCAUGGCUCAUGGGAGUUAUAAUCCAACAACAUCUGGAGGGCCAAAGGUUCCACACUCCUGCUAUAAUAGGAGGUGCCUGGAGGGCAUUUCAGUCAUUGUGCCAGUUGAUGUGGACCUUCAUGGCUGGGAUUUGAGAUGCCGUGCUCCGAAUCAGCACCAGGAUUAGAACAAAGUAUGUGCCUUGAAUUGCAACCAGAACCACAUUGGAAGCUGGUGAAGAUCUUUUAACAUGUUUGAGCAAAGAUUGAAGUAACUGCCAUCGUUUGAACCAAUUGAACAGGGAUGGAGGGUCUUUUUGCCCCAUGAGCCUGAGAUUCACCACCCCUGCAGCUGAAGUUGUUAAAUAGUUUUCAAGGGCAGCCCCAUACACAAUACAUGGCAGUAAUCAAGUCACUUAAGGCAGAGGACCAACUUGCAAGCGAUUUCCUAUGACUUAGAAGGCUUAUCUCUUGCACACAUCUAGAGAAGUAUUGGUGGGGGUGGUGAAGGGAAACCAAUGCUAGUAAUACCUUGGUACAUAUUAAUCUUUCCAUUAUGCUCUCAGUUCUUCUGUGUGAGCCCCUGCAUUCCACUGUCUCUUCGUUCAGUAAUUUAAUUAGGAUGGCGACUUGGAGAUCUUGCAGCCGAUUAGAGGCCGUGACUUGCUUGAGAGAUCAAGAAAGCAAAUUGAUAAAUGUCAGAGCAAAGGUGGGCUGUGUGGGAAGAGAGAAGGGGAGGCAGCCCUAUGCCUUUGGCUCUGAAUGAGUGAUCAAGGUCAGCUCUGGUUUGUUAACAUAUUCUGGGACCCCAGUUCAUUAUAAAUAGCACCCUGGUGGUUUGCCUUUGCCCCUGAAGAUCACGGUUGAGAUUUACCAGUGAGCCUUCUUUGUAGCUGGCUGGAGAUGGGAGAGAGGAAGCACUCCUUUAAAACCUAGAAAUCAAACUCUUCUGUAUUGGAUAUCUUAAAAAGGCAUUUGUGUUUUCCCAGGGCUGGGCUGGCCCAAUAUAUUUUGCCACCUGAGGCAGAGGACGAGAUGGUGCCCACUCUAUUCCAGACUGGUAGCUGAAUCUUAGUUCAGCACUAGUGAUUGGAUGCUGUGCAUUUAGGGGCAUCAAUCUAGGCUAAGAAGGGGAAGCGAAGAGGGAUGCACAACUUCAACAUCUCACUGUCAUUGCCCACCCCCUCUACCUCUCUCUGACUAAUGGUAGGACUGCCCCAGAUCAGGAUCUCUUGUCCUAGCAGCACACCUCUGCCUGCUUUGGGUAUAUCGUACUCUGAUUGGAUAUGAAGUGGAGAAAUCUUCCAUGGGGCAGUUCUUCAGAAUCUUCUGUGCUGCUCUUGCCCGGCUCCUGUUCAUAUCAAUGGGGCUCACUCAGGAGAACCUCCCAGUAAGAUUAUCUCCAGUGGGUCAAAUAAAAUAAUCAUGUGUACCAAGAGUGAAUUCUGUUCUCUUAAGUGAUGGCCCUCAUUAGGUUGGCCACAGUAUCAUUGCAAAAGUGAACCAUGAUGUGCCUAAAAUGUGCAUGUGCUAAUUUACGUGUAUAAGCCCAAAUUUUAGAAAUAAUUGCUUUAAUUCCCCUAGUGGGGAAGACCAUGAGCAGCUAACCUGUGUGCCUACUCAGUCUCCAGUCAAGGUGCUAAGUGUUGAUGAGGGAACAUCAACACUUUUCACUGCUCUUUCUUUUUCUGCUUCUUAUCUUUAAAAUGGACUUGGACCUGUCUGUCCUUCGACCAAAUCAGAGGAGGCUAACCUGUAGCUCUCAGUAGGUUUUGGGACUUCCAACUCCCAUCAGCCCCAGCCAGCAUGACCUAUGAAGUCUGGGGUGAUAGUCCAGCAGCAUCUGGAGGCCUGCAGGUGUAGUCAUCCCUGAAAUAGAGGACAGUCCUUUGUAAAGUAGGACAUGAGACCACCUUAGAAUCUAGCCCAAAAGGGCACCAUCCACAAUCAAGAGGGAAGUGGCAGCAGGCUUAGGGAAAUCUCAGGCCUUGAAAAAGUACCAAAAAAAAACCCCCUUUAGAAAAAAAGAGGUCCGUUCUAGGGAUAGAGGAGUAAUUUGGUGCCAUCAGGAGUUUAAUGUGAAUCUACCUUAUUUGCAAUUUCAUGGGUGAAGCAAAUCAUAGCUCUCCUUCAACAUAUACUUCUCCAGAUUUUGCGUUGUGAUUCUCCAACCAAAUAAUAUGUAUGACGAUGUGAAUGUUUGGGGGAAAGCAUGCCUAAAAUUGCAUAUAUUUCUGAAAGUAGCUUAUUAAAAAGAGCAUUCUAUUAGGGCAAAAAAUUAUUGCAAAAAAUGUAUCUUAGACAGAAUUGCAUAAAAAUUGUAUAUAUUAGGAGAAAUUUGUGCUGAAGUGCUGGCUAAUUUUCAUGAAGACUUCUUUAAAUAACAAAAAAGCAAACUCAUGCAGAAAUGAGAAGAAUGGAAUUCAAAACUGGAACAGUGAGAAACAGAGAGAAGUCAAAAUGGAGAGAUUUGUCACAUGGCCCAUGUCACAUGACUCCAGCCCUCUCAGCCUUAAUCAACCCAACCUCCCAAUAUGCUUCACCCUUUGCCCAGUAGCUCAUUAUCUCAUUUGCAGCCAUUGCAGCCCCCUCCCCACAUCAGAAAGUCCCAUUCAGACCUCUUUGCUGCUGUAGCUUUUUUUCAUAGGCCCCAGUUCCUUGACAUGAAGUUAAGCUGGUGUCAAGCCCCUUCUCUUAUCAGGAAGUGUCUUCCAGAAAGACUUUCUUAAGUCCUUUCCCCCCACCGCCCUUGAAGUGAAGCUGCGAAUCGCUUUGAGGUGAAUGUGUGUUUUUUGUUUUGUUUUUUUUCAAAAAUCUAGAACAAAAGAGUUUUUCCUUACAACAGCUGUGCAGUUUUAUUAAAAAUUUAGAGAAAUCUUAUGUGUCUAAUCCUUUGAGCGGAUGUGUAAUUACUUGGCGAGGGCGCUUACACAUGGAUAACCUAGCUGUACUGUGAGACAAGAUUCUUAUGUUUAAUUUAAAGGACCGGAGCUUCUGCUGUGGUGGAGAUUAUCAACACCAAGCCCUAAGAAAGGAACGCACAGCCCAAACCGACCGCUCUGCGUUUUCAUUUGUUGCACAGAUGUUCGGGGCCAUCUGACGAGCAGAUAGCGGAGUUGCCGAGAACGGCAAACGGGCAGGAGAUGUGCAAGAGAGAUGUGAACAUCAGCUUCGUAUUCAGUGGGUUUUUUCAUUUGCUUCUGGGGUUGGGGUUUGUGUCUCUCCUGAUUUCUGGAUAUGACUUGUCUCCUUUCUGCUCCAGAUUAGCAUGGCUACUCUCUCUGUUAAGCUGCAUCCCUUACUCAAGGGUGUGAGAAUAAGAUGAUCCAUGGCUACUGGCACAAUGUCUAUGUUCUAGCUCCACUGUCAGAGGCCAUAUGUUUUUGAAUUCCAGUUGCUGGGAAGCACAGGUGGGGUGAGUGCUAUCGCUCUCAAGUCUCAUGUGCAGGCUUCCCAUCAGGACAUCUAGUUAGCCACUUUGAGACCAGGAUGCCAAGACUAGGUGGGCCUUUGGCCUGAUCCAGCUGCAGGGGUCUUCAGGUGUUCCCAAGUGUUGGUGCUUCUAGAAUACAGGGCAUAGGAAGCAUAUUAUGUGUUCAGGGAAAGCGAAUAUGUACUUUCCUUCCAUAGAAAGGCCAGGCAUUGUUGUGAUUUCCCAAAUGCAUGGGGCAAGAUCGUUCAGAUUUGCUUUGGCACCUAAGCCUUAGAUGUAGUGAAAUUACUCGCCAGUGAAGCUUUCAGUGGAAACACACAGAGAGAUAAGAUGAGUACCAAGCAAGCCUCCUGUGAUGGAAUCAAUGGAAUCAUUGGCAGCACCACCAGCCUUUUACCAUGUUGCCUCCAUGGAGAAAAUUUUGACAUGCAGAUGAAUGAGACCCUUGUGUAGAUGGGUCGUCAUCCAUCUCCUGGCACUCAAGUUCACUGGACGCUGCAGACGGGGCAAUGCUUAGCUCUGCCUCCAGGCUCCUUGAUGUUGCUUUCUGGAACUUCUUUAACUGACAGGAAGUGCAAUGUUGUGACCCCCUUCAAUCAGGGCUGGGCAACUUUUUUGUUUUGUUGUGGACCACAUUCCCUUGGGAGUAAGCUGCUGGGAGUGGAGCAGGCAGAGCUAGAAGUGUGUGGGGCCACCUCUUUUCUUUCUCUCUGCUGCCCCUUCUCUCUCUUUCUCUUCCCCCUAACCAGCUAGAUGCCAAGAGAUAGUUCACUAUUUUAGUCUUGCAGGUGGCCUUUUAAAUUAGUUAAGCACCCCAUGAAAAUAGACCAAGGGUGCAGAUUCCCCCUACCUUAACCCACCUUGGAUAGAAAGAGAUCUCUGAAAACGAUAUUCAGCCAGGAUCAUUGGAGGAGGGUGGGAAUAAAUCUUCCUGGCAUAGAUGGGAAUUUCCCCAGGAAGCUCCUACAGAAGGUGAAGGGGCAGGUGCCUUAACAGUCGCAAGAAUCUUCUCUCGUAUUUAAUAGUGUGACUUCUUCUCUUUGAGUACAAUCCUAGUUCUUGCAGUGGCCUCAUCACACUGGCUCUUGUGAGAUAUGUUACCUACUCCUUAGGUCUCACUGCCUGCUGCUAAUUGCUGUCUAGGCUGGAAGGUAUGGAGAAGCAGGAAGUUGCAUCCGUAGCCCAGUGACAAAAGGUACUCCUGUAUGUACCAGGUAUAUGUACCAGGCUUGGCCAGUAGUCAAGAGUCUUGAUACUGCCUGCUAAUCACGGAGGCCGAUGUUGCGCAAUGUUAUUCCCUUCUGUGCCUGAAGAGGGCUCUGAUCCCAAAUGAUCCCAAGUAACUGAAGAUGACGUUGGACUCCCAUCAGCCCCAUGCAGCACAACUGAUGACCAGGGAUAGUGGAAGUUGGAGUCCAGCACUAUUUAUUUAUUUAUUUAUUUAUUUAUUUUAUGCUUACAUUCCUUUUUUUGCUUUUUGCUUUUUUUCUUUUUCUUUUUCCUUUUUCAGACAAGUGCCUACUGAAAGCAGCUUAAAAACUUAAAACAGCGAGAGAUAAAGAAAGCAGUAAUACAAAAUUUUAAGCUUAAAAAGACAGCAUCUCUCCAAAACCUGGAGCCUACUGGGGUGGGGAAGGCUCCAUAAGCAGUUGGCCCAGAGGGUCCCAGAUCAGGAACCUGGAACUACUUUCACGGGGUUCCGAUCCCACGGGGACAGCAUUAAAUGGUGCGCUUUGAUCAGAUUGCUACCAGCGAUUGGGCCCAAACAACCCGUGAUGCAGUUCCUUUAAUAGGACCAUAAUUAUAAUCUGCACCUGAUCACUGGAAUGCUGAUCUAUUUCUUUUGUGUUUGGGAGAAAUGUGCAAACAGGCCAUAAACUUGGUGAAUUAAAUAAGCACUGGGCGUGAAGAAGCAAAUGUUAUUGGGGGAGGGGGGAGGGAGACGGAGAAAAAUCAAGACCACACUAUGUAGCUGGACAGAUGUGUUGAGCAGCUUAGCUCUUUGUUGAGUCCAACGCUUACAAAUGAAAAUGUCUCAGUUGUAAGAAAUUAAAGACAAAACAUGCUGUUAGAUUAUAGGGAAAGGGAGGAGGAACGAGGCGUAUCAGGCUGGUAUUUAAGCCAUGCCAUUAAUUGUUUUGAGGGUUGUUUUAAUGUAUGUAUGUAUAUAUAUCUAUUAAAAGGGUCCUUCAGCCCUCGAGCAAUUGCUUUGUUUAAUUUGCAUUUGUGCCAUGUGACCUUGCAUAAUAGCCAGCGAACGUGGAGCAUCCGAAAGGCCGGGGCUGUUGCAAUUGUAGGUUCUGCCUUGUGCAAAUGAAGAUGCGUCUAAAACGGCAUUUCUCUUUGUUGUGUGUGUGUGUGUUUCAAAAGGCGCUCUAAUGAAUUAGCGGAAAAUGCACUGCUGUAAACAGCUGUUGUGUGUUCGUCAAGCAUCUGCGGAGGGGUCUGUCUGCUUUUCAUUUCUUUCCAUCGUUCCUUCUCUCUCUCUUCUGACACAACCCACAGACUAUUUUUUUUUUUUAAAUGGCCCUCUCCUACUGUAAAAUGUAAUAUUUAUUUCUAGAUAACGCACUCCAGUUUCUCCAAGUAUUUGGGGGGGGGGGAGUGUCAAGCAGAUUUAACUGACGUUACAAAUACAGAAUUCAGAGGCAGUUGUUAAUGUGAUUCUCAGGGGAGCCAGUGCAUUGUAGAGCAUGGACUUCCCUGACCGAGGGAGACAGUGGUUCAGAUCCAUUAUCCAUGGUGUCACCAUCCCUCAGCCUACUGAACUGUACAGGCUUGUUUUGGGAAGAAAACGGGAUAAACCCUGGAAGCAUGCUUUGCAAGGAAGGGCUGUAGCUUACCAACAGAGGUCUGAGAUUUGUUUCUGAGUGGUUUGCUGGAAGCCUUCAAGUGAGGUCAGAUUCUACCCAUUCCACGAAGUGGUGCUAUUUAUUUACAUGUUUGAGAGUGUAUCCCAUGCCGUGUUAGAGUCUUAAAGCUGAUUGCAACCCGAGAGCCAGUGGUUGGGGAGUCAGACCAGGAACCCCGAGAGGCCAGGGUUCAAAUGGCCCACUCAGCCACGUUGACUUGGCAGUCAGUUACUGUCAUUCAGCCUAACCUGCCUCAGGUGGUUGUUGCAAGGGCAAAUUGAGCGUGGGGGUGGGGAACCAUGGAUGUUUAUUGCUCUCCUGAGUGAAGGUCUCUUUCCAGUAGAAACCUCACACAUAUACCAAGUUGGAAAAAUGGAAAAAUAGUGUGUAGGUUUAUCACCGACCCUCUCCCCUCUACCUCGGGAUGCCAUAUUGUCUUACACUGAAUGUAACCAAAACACUUUAUAAACUUUACAGAGAAAGAGACAUUGCACAUUCUUUUGUAUUUCAUGAAAAUCUUUAAUAAAAAAUAUUUUUUUAAAAAAAUAAGUAAAUAGAUUUGAACCCCAGCAAUGCUUUGGAUUGCCACACUUUGUAGAUGCUAAUAUAGGAAGAGUUUUAUAGUGUGUGUGUGUGUGUGUGUGUGUGUGUGUGUAUACGUAUACAUAUACAUAUACAUAUACUGUAUGUGUGUCUAGGUAUGUAUUUCCACCUGAAAUAAAUAUGUUUCCAUUCACCCACCCAUCCUGCGACUGAAUGUAAACCCCUUCCUUUCAAGAGUUAAUAAACACACCCAAGCUGUGCUGAUCUUGUAGCUUUAGCGAGCCUUAAUCUGUAAGCUUGAUUACCUCCUAACCUUCAGUCGCCUGACGCAGCAGGGGGUGGCAGGAGGUGCGGGAGGGAGGGGGCUCCACAGCAGCUUUUGUGGCGUUGUGCCCAGCUUGGACUUAAAGGGAAAUCAUUCGGGAAAAGGAGACGGAUGGGGCUUUGUCAUCUGCACAGCGGCAAUGGCAGAGCAGUAGCUCAGCAACAGAGAGUCUCUUUUGCACGCAGAAGGUCCCAGUUUCAGUCUCCAGCAUCCCCAGGCAGGGCUGGGAGAGACCCUCUGCCUGAAACCCUGGAGUCAGUGUUGACAAUGUUGAGCUACAUAGCCCAAUGGCCUGACUCAGUUUAAGGUGGCUUCUUAUGUAUUUUCAGUGCUCAGGGUUGGAAGCAGGGAAAGGAGGCAGUCCCUGGUUGUGAGAUUGCAGGGGGGAAUUCCAUGACACCACUAAACUCUCCUGGCUAUGCCACUUUCCAUUCCCUACUGCCCAUUAGAUGGAUAGAUUUAUGGUUCUCGCCAUGGCAGUGUGGUCUCUGCUUCCCCAUCAGUGUCUAGUCAUGCCUUUCACAUAACUUCUGGAUGUUUGGACUUCCUCUGCUGCCAUUUCUGCCUUCUGGUGAAGGCCACACAGUGCAAGAUGCACCCUGGCAAUCUGGCUUUCCCGUGUGAUAUCCUAUCCACCUAGGGAUCCACACUCAAAUGCAUAGGGGUCACCAGUGUAGUCCCAUGGUACCUUCGAGGUCUUCCCCUGGCACCCAGCAAAUCUCAGAGUGCCCUCCCCUCACUGCCUUGGUCACGAGUGUGUCUACCUUUCUUUCCCUUGAAAAAUACAUAGAGCUAAAGGAGGAAUUUGAAGAGUGGCACUCGUUCCAACUUCCUCUUUCAGUCCUGUGUGGUUUUCAAGAGUCAGAUUAAUUCUGCUGGAUCUGGGGAAAACAAAGUGUGUGUUUCAGUCUGUCUGCCAGAGUCCAGUCGAACAACAUCUGGAGGGCCAUUGGUUCUGCACCCCGGCAUUAAAACGAUUUUGUUUUGCCAUUGUCACAAGGGGCUGAAACAAAGCCCCAGUUGCCUGCCUUCCAGUGUGGGCCACCAUCCAUCCACAAAGAACACUCAAAGAACAACCCUGGAAUGAUGCCGCGUAGCAAAAUAGCCUCAUUCCAAGCAGAGAUGUAUUUGCAGACAGUGGUUGUCCAGGGUGGCAGACUGGGGGCAGCGUUAGCAUUGCCACCCACAGUGGUCACCCUGGGGUGCCAGGCAGGCUGUGUGAAGGGGGCCUCUGCACAGCACAGGGGCAGCUUUGUCAAUGGGGCUGGCUCUUGCAGAGAAGAAGAAAGAAGGAGAGGAGGUCCAACACUAGAUGGAGCCAGAGCCAAUGGCAAGAAGAGCCCAUUCAUCCUCUUCAUGAGGAAGCUGACAAACAGCGCCACGCUUUUGACUGGUUGCAUGUAGGAAGGCAAGCAGGUGUUGGCUGGCUGAAGGGCAGAUUGAGUUGGUGGGACAAUGCCCCAUUCACCCACAUGGACCAGCCUCCACAGGGCAGCAUCAGGAGGUUCUUUCUAAUUCCACCCCUCCCAAUAUCCCAAAUUUCAUCUUGCAGCAGUUUUGAGGAUGAAUUUUUUAGGACUCCACAAAAUGCAUUUCAAGGUUUAGAUACCUUUAAGCCUUUCCUAGCAAGACCUGUCUUUUGACACCCUUCACCAUGCUUCUGCAAUGCCCCAUCUUGCCCGACUUACAUUGAGGGGUUCAAAACUGGGCCUCGCAGUGAGCUGGUGUAAUGCAGAGACUGAGCACAACCCAGAGAGUCGUUUCCAAAUUUGGAUGUGUGGUUUUGUCCAUGGUUAAUAUGCUGGGAGAGAUGGGGCUUGGGGUGGGGUGGGGGUGUUGCUUGCUUGCUCUGUGACCACUCUGUGACCUUCCAGAAUAAAAGUUGCCGAUCGGAAGCAACUGGCUGAGAAUUACAAUGGUUGAUAUAUUCUAAUUUAAAUAGAAACGUCCUCCGUUUAAAAUAUGGUUCAUUCACCGGUCAAACCGUCCUUACUCCCUUUAAUUGAAUUAAGAUGGGCAAAUGAGGGAUGUAUGCAGGACAAGGAGGGAGAAAAUGUUCAACAAAUCACUGUUAUCCUUCCUCAAAUGGUGUAAAACGAAUCAAUUAGAGGCAUGUCAGAGCACCUUUUACACACACACACAACUUUCCGACUGAGAAUGUUUAAUAAAAGUGGAAAUUUAAAUUGGAGGAUAAUAAUUUAGAUUUUUUUUCAGCUACUCUUAAUUUGAUUUCCACCACACCCCUCCAGUUUUUGCUUUGGGAGGAAACAUGCUGUCAGGAUUUGUGUGGCUGUUAAAUCAACGGUGGUCCUCUCCUCUUUUAUUUUUCAUUAUUUUAUAACUGGUACAUUUCUCAAAACAUGUCCACAUAUUUUGCGUCUCAUUGAAUCCUGGUGGCAGCUACAUAAAAUGAAGGGAAGGCAGUAGAGUGGAUUCCAACCACUCAGCCUU
This is a non-coding RNA of Podarcis lilfordi (Lilford's wall lizard), 11437 nucleotides long. Lineage: Eukaryota; Metazoa; Chordata; Lepidosauria; Squamata; Lacertidae. The record is from the annotation of a GenBank genome assembly.